AUAUACGAGGUGUGAUCAGCAAAUAGCUGUGGGUGAGAUUCAGCAGACACUUCUACAGAAGUGACCCCCACCCAAACCCAUAAAGUUCUUCUUACCAUUCAUUGUAACCACAACUAUGGACUGUCCUGCGAUGACACUGGACGAUACUCGUAGACAACCGCAUAUUGUCUCUGGCAUCUCCAAAGGUACAAGACGCUCUUGAAAAAAACAAAAAACACAUGGAUAAGCAUUAAAAAAUAACAUUUAUUUACUGGCAACUAUUUUAAACAAGAUGUACUUGACUGCUUCAUCGACCUAUCAGUUUUUCAGUCAAGUCUAAGAAUGUGACUUUUAAAAACUACAACUUACCACACUGGGUUAGAACCCUCUCCACAACACAAGUUGUGGGAGGCAAUGGAUGAAAGAAUGCAUGUGUCAUCGAAUCCCUGUUGUGGAACACUUGACCUCGGUGGACCCUGACAUCACACUGGCCACAGAGGAAUGGGUGUGGUCGAGGACAGUCCAUAGUUGUGGUUACAAUGAAUGGGCGAUAUGAUCUCAGAUUGCCUCAGAUUAGAUGCAAAGCAUGUGAAGCCACUUGGAGUCCUGGAGUGGAUGACCUGAUCCGUAAUGACUACUGGCCUGCCACUUCUCACUAUUCAACUGUGUAUGCAACAGAUGUCCUUUUUUUCUUUUUGAAGAGCUGAAGAUGGCAGCACCAGGGAUGUCUAGCCAAGCAUUUCUUAGAAUGCUGGAUCAACGCACUGUUCGAUUUGGCCGUGUAAGUAUUUGUGGUAAUAAUUGCGUAACUCCAUAAAUAAUACUAUGAGGGCAUGAUGAUGAUGAUAGUACACAUGAACAUUUGCACUGUUUAGGAAAAAAGUUGUGUUCAAUUUAGACCCUUUAUAAACAACCAUAAACUCAUGUUCUCUCAUCAGCAGUUUGCACUGAGACAUUUCCACAGGUAAUUCUGAAGAUCUCAACUUCUACUCCAUUGGCUACAGACUUUGACAUCUUCUCCCCAAUAUCAUUUCCUGAUCCCAGAAGUGUUCCCUUGGAUUAAUGGCCCAAACACUGCACAGGCUUACUUCUAAACAAUAUUGUAGCUGUUGUAGCCCUCUUUGUGUAAAGAUUUAAACUGAAUGUCAAACAAUAUCCUGUAUUUUUAAUGGCCAGGUCCCCCAAAUACACCAGUGUAUAGUGUAUGAGUGAAGUCUACACAUUGUUUAUUUCCUUUGAUAUGUAUUCUAAGGAGUGGUUACGAAGUUAGUACAAACA
This is a long non-coding RNA of Cyprinus carpio carpio, 1257 nucleotides long. The record is from Ensembl. NCBI's taxonomy places the organism in Eukaryota, Metazoa, Chordata, Actinopteri, Cypriniformes, Cyprinidae.